GAUAGUUCCCUUCCCAAACUGGAAAGACUGACCUAUGUAACUAAUAUAAUAUUGUGACUACUAAAUUUAGGUCAUAAAAGAUCUUGUGACUUCAGUUUUGCUCCCUUGGAUCCCUCAUUCUUGGGGAGGUCAGGUGCAAUGUCGACAGUUCCAGAGUAGCCCCACAAAGAGGCCAAGGAACCGAGGCCUUCUACCAACAGCCAGCACUGACUUGACAGCCAUGUGAGCCGUAUGGACCAUCUGGGAAUUGGGUCUUCCAGCCCCAGUCAAGUCUUCAGAUGACUCCACUCCCAGCUCUUCUAGGCCAAGAAAGGACAUCCCAAUCCUCCAUCUCAUCCCCAGAUCCAAACUGCUCUCCACCUGUACCUUUUGCAAGGAUCCUUCCUUCAUCCAGAUUCUAUUCUUUGGAUCAGGAAUUUAGACAGAGCAGAAUGGAGUUGGCUUGUCGCUAUGCCACGAUGUCUGGGACUUCAGCUGAAAAGACUUGACCGCUGCCAGUUGGAAUAACCUGGAGACUCCUCUCAUAUUUCUGGUCCUUGAACUAGGAGGUCUCCAAUAUUAGGACAGGAAACCAGGGCACCCAGACAAGGUUUCCAACACAGCUGGGCUUUCUCAUGGCCUGGUGGUUGCAGAAUCACCAAAAUUCUCAUAAGAGAGCCCAGAGAUGGAAGUCUGAGGGCUCCAGAAAAUAAGGCACAAGCUGCGUUGUCCUAAAGAGUAGGGGCAGGGCCUUGCAAAACAUACAGCCUCACUUCCUCCACGCUCUCUUAGUGCAAGCUGUUACAAGCUCACCCAGAUUCAGUGGGACAAGAAUUAGAUUUGAUGAGAGCACAAGAGGCAAGACAGGGAGAAGGGAGUGGGGGUCAGGAGAAAUUGGCGCCACCAUCUUUGGAAAAUUAAAUUUCUCUCAUCAUACAACCAGGAGAAUGUCCCUGAGCAGUAAACUAGAUUAGUAAAUACAUCGGGCCACAUUUAUACAAUGAAAUAUAAAACAGUGCAAAUCAACAAACUAAAGCCCUCUGUCCCAACAUAGUACAGAGGGACGGUUCUUAUUGAGGGAAAAAAGCAGGACGCAAGGAAUACGUAUACUCUGAUCUCGCGUAUAUACGUUUCAAAACCAGGACAAACUAAACCAUAAUGUUCAUGGACAUAUAUAUGUGAUAAAUCUUAGAUUAAAAAAAAAUAAGAAAGAAUUUCCGUGAAAGUCCAGAUAAAGAGCAGAAGGAGGCCACAGACUAUACUACGCGGGUGUCUGGGGAAAAUUGGUACACAUUUUUUUAAAAAAGUUUUAUCAUAUUUUUAAGAGAAGCGUGCUGUUUGCUAAUAACAAAGUAAACCAUGCUUAUGUAGAAACUUUGAAAAACAUAAAAGCUUGGGCACGAGAAUAAAAAUCGUCUACAUUUCCACCACUAUGGAGAAUCUCUGUCACGUUUAGGGAUAUUUUCCGUUUCUAUGAAAA
Long non-coding RNA from Ailuropoda melanoleuca (giant panda), 1459 nucleotides. RefSeq lists it as uncharacterized. The record is from RefSeq and is a predicted model, not a curated record. The transcript is spliced from 3 exons. NCBI's taxonomy places the organism in Eukaryota, Metazoa, Chordata, Mammalia, Carnivora, Ursidae.